RNAcentral lists this ribosomal RNA (492 nucleotides) under uncultured bacterium. RNAcentral's name for it is "partial 16S ribosomal RNA". It matches the Rfam family "Bacterial small subunit ribosomal RNA", at positions 29 to 507 of the family's 1533-position model. The record is from RNAcentral.
AGUGAACGCUGGCGGUAGGCCUAACACAUGCAAGUCGAACGGCAGCACAGUAAUAGCUUGCUCUUACGGGUUGCGAGUGGCGGACGGGUGAGGAAUACAUCCUAAUCUACUUUUUCGUGGGGGAUAACGUAGGUAAACUUACGCUAAUACCGCAUACGACCUACGGUUGAAAGCAGUGGAUCUUCGGACCUUGCGCGAUUGAAUGAGCCGAUUUCGGAUUAGCUAGUGGGCGGGGUCAAGGCCCACCAAGGCGACGAUCCGUAGCUGGUCUGAGAGGAGGAUCAGCCACACUGGAAAUGAGACACGGUCCAGACUCCUACGGGAGGCAGCAGUGGGGAAUAUUGGACAAAGGGCGCAAGAAUGAUACAGCCAUACCGCGUCGGUGAAGAAGGCCUUCGGGUUGUAAAGACCUUUUGUUGGGAAAGAAAAGCAGUAGGCUAAGACAAAGCUGUUGUGACGGUACCUACAGAAGAAGCACCGGCUAACUACGUG